CCUACGGGCUGCAGCAGUGAGGAAUAUUGGUCAAUGGACGAGAGUCUGAACCAGCCAAGUAGCGUGAAGGAUGACUGCCCUAUGGGUUGUAAACUUCUUUUAUAUGGGAAUAAAAUGUUCCACGUGUGGGAUUUUGUAUGUACCAUAUGAAUAAGGAUCGGCUAACUCCGUGCCAGCAGCCGCGGUAAUACGGAGGAUCCGAGCGUUAUCCGGAUUUAUUGGGUUUAAAGGGAGCGUAGGUGGAUUGUUAAGUCAGUUGUGAAAGUUUGCGGCUCAACCGUACAAUUGCAGUUGAAACUGGCAGUCUUGAGUACAGUAGAGGUGGGCGGAAUUCGUGGUGUAGCGGUGAAAUGCUUAGAUAUCACGAAGAACUCCGAUUGCGAAGGCAGCUCACUGGACUGCAACUGACACUGAGGCUCGAAAGUGUGGGUAGCAAACAGGAUUAGAUACCCUAGUAGUC
Molecule: ribosomal RNA, 460 nt
Filed under: uncultured bacterium
Lineage: Bacteria
Description: partial 16S ribosomal RNA
Rfam family: Bacterial small subunit ribosomal RNA
Source: RNAcentral